Molecule: long non-coding RNA, 225 nt
Filed under: Ricinus communis (castor bean)
Lineage: Eukaryota; Viridiplantae; Streptophyta; Magnoliopsida; Malpighiales; Euphorbiaceae
Description: long non-coding RNA (RCOM_LNC001154)
Source: RNAcentral
GGAGAGGUCGACCACCCUGGCGCAAUUGAAAUGACCUCUUCAUCAGUUCAUAUACUUGGGAAGAGUCAGAAACAUCAAGAUAGCUCCUCUUAGCCGCAUCCCAAACUUCUUUAGAUGUCCCACUCUGAACAAAGUGCGACAUCAGAUUAUCAAUCAUGGAAUUAAUAAGCCAAGACUUGACAAGGGCAUCUUCAGCUUCCCAUUCAUCAUAGCCCAUAUCAUCUU